GAAAAAAAAAGGGAAGACUAGGAGUGGGUUUGAGAGAAUCGAGGAGCCGCUGCUGAGACUUCGUCGAGAAUUGAGGAAAGCUGACUUCGUGAAGAAACUUGGCAGAAAUUCAGAAAUCGUCCGAGAUGGUAAGCGAAUUUCUAUGGAUCAAAUCUUAUUCUAUGUUAAGGCUAAAAUCAC
Cucurbita moschata (crookneck pumpkin) is the source of this 180-nucleotide long non-coding RNA. RefSeq lists it as uncharacterized. The transcript is spliced from 2 exons. The record is from RefSeq and is a predicted model, not a curated record. NCBI's taxonomy places the organism in Eukaryota, Viridiplantae, Streptophyta, Magnoliopsida, Cucurbitales, Cucurbitaceae.